AAGACAGAGGGUGCAAACGUUGUUCGGAAUUACUGGGCGUAAAGCGCGUGUAGGCGGCUGUGCAAGUCGGAUGUGAAAUCCCGUGGCUCAACCACGGAAGUGCACCCGAAACUGCGCAGCUCGAGUCUCGGAGAGGAAGGUGGAAUGCUUGGUGUAGAGGUGAAAUUCGUAGAUAUCAAGCGGAACACCGGUGGCGAAGGCGGCCUUCUGGACGAUGACUGACGCUGAGACGCGAAAGCGUGGGGAGCAAACAGG
This 255-nucleotide ribosomal RNA is filed under the name uncultured prokaryote. RNAcentral's name for it is "partial 16S ribosomal RNA". It matches the Rfam family "Bacterial small subunit ribosomal RNA", at positions 522 to 776 of the family's 1533-position model. The record is from RNAcentral.